GUAAGGGCGGAACUGAAAAAGUGACGGAGAUUGGUUCCGCCCGGACCAUAAUUCUCAAACAUCGGUUACUUCCGGGAACUCCGGGAAAGGAAAUCAGGGUUUCAUGGAUCGCAGGUGGAUAGAUGAGCGGGGCGAUCGCGGAUUGGGCAGUGUGAAGAGAAGGAGGAGUAUAAAGAGGGCCUCAGAAACUGCAGAGGGGGAGUUUUUAUUCUAGCCAAUACGGCGAGUGAGUUGGAGUGUUUGGGCGAGUGCAGCGGAAAGAAGGCGGAGGAUAUUGUUGGCUGGGCGAAGAUGGAGACAAGGGUUUGGCAGAAACAGAAACCGGGCUGAGUAUAUUGGGAUGUCUACCUAACUGUGAAAUGCUCUAUGGACAUGUGUAACAAAUUCUGAGUGGUUAAAAACAGGAAGACUCACUGGAAGUAUCGCCGAAGGAGGCCCUUUCGACAGGUCACGUGGGAGCAGGAGAAGUAUCCAGGAGCUGGAAAGAAGAGGGAAAAGAGACCUCGUGUUACCUUUUUGUGAGUUUGUGGCAUAGUAUGUGAGCAGCCCCACCGUGGAGGAGGAUUGUGGGUGAGCCGGGACCAGUGAGCGAGAGAAGACGUUGUGGUGUCGUGGCGGCGACGUUUAAAUCUGAAUAUUCGUUGCAUCAGUGUCUCCAUGAUUUCCAGGACGAGUCUUUGGUCAGACGGGGUUUUGACCCUAAAUUCACCAAGAGUGUGUGGAGUGCAGUGGGCCCGACGAAAUCCUGGAAGGAAGUGAGUACUGAGGCGGGCGAAGAAAACAUCUCCAAUUAUAUGCCGUCGAUGACAUCCUGACCCUUCUUCCCCACGUGACGGUGGCGGGAAACAAUUUCAAAUCUCUUGCCCUGUCGGUUGGAAGAAAGAAGAGGGAAGCGUUCGACCCAUUCAGUGUAGCACACCCCGGGUGAAACAACUUACCUGUGUGUGACACCAGUGGAGGCCGUGUUCGGCCCAACGCAGCAGCAGCUUUCGAUCCGCAUCUCUAUCAGCAGUUGGUUGAAGCCUCAGAAAAGGAAUGCCUGACGUCUAUUUCCUCAAAGAUCUAGCGGGUCCCUUUGAAGCGUCUACCUGCACGUUGACCCGUCACUCAGGAUACAGAAACCGCGGAAACCCCCCC
This is a long non-coding RNA of Cyprinus carpio carpio, 1137 nucleotides long. The record is from Ensembl. NCBI's taxonomy places the organism in Eukaryota, Metazoa, Chordata, Actinopteri, Cypriniformes, Cyprinidae.